GAAUCUUGCGCAAUGGCCGAAAGGCUGACGCAGCGACGCCGCGUGCGGGAGGAAGCCCUUCGGGGUGUAAACCGCUGUCACCGGGGACGAAGGACAUGAGGGCGAACAGCGCUCAUGGGUGACGGUACCCGGGGAGGAAGCGCCGGCUAACUCUGUGCCAGCAGCCGCGGUAAGACAGAGGGCGCGAGCGUUGUUCGGAAUCACUGGGCGUAAAGCGCGCGCAGGCGGAUCCGUGCGUCGGGAGUGAAAGCCCGGGGCUCAACCCCGGUGUUUGCUUCCGAUACGGCGGGUCUAGGGACCGGUAGAGGCCGGUGGAAUUCCCGGUGUAGCGGUGGAAUGCGUAGAGAUCGGGAAGAACACCAGUGGCGAAGGCGGCCGGCUGGGCCGGAAAGCUCCCGUUUGGGAGUGUCCGACGCUCAUGCGCGAAAGCGUGGGGAGCAAAC
Molecule: ribosomal RNA, 443 nt
Filed under: uncultured bacterium
Lineage: Bacteria
Description: bacterial SSU rRNA
Rfam family: Bacterial small subunit ribosomal RNA
Source: RNAcentral